CGGGAAUUAUUUGGGCGUAAAGAGCUCGUACGGCGGUUUGUCGCGUCUGUCGUGAAAGUCCCGGGGCUUAACCCCGGAUCUGCGGUGGGUACGGGCAGACUAGAGUGCAGUAGGGGAGACUGGAAUUCCUGGUGUAGCGGUGGAAUGCGCAGAUAUCAGGAGGAACACCGAUGGCGAAGGCAGGUCUCUGGGCUGUAACUGACGCUGAGGAGCGAAAGCAUGGGGAGCGAACAGGAUUAGAUACCCUGGUAGUCCAUGCCGUAAACGUUGGGCACUAGGUGUGGGGACCAUUCCACGGUUUCCGCGCCGCAGCUAACGCAUUAAGUGCCCCGCCUGGGGAGUACGGCCGCAAGGCUAAAACUCAAAGGAAUUGACGGGGGCCCGCACAAGCGGCGGAGCAUGCGGAUUAAUUCGAUGCAACGCGAAGAACCUUACCAAGGCUUGACAUGUUCUCGAUCGCCGUAGAGAUACGGUUUCCCCUUUGGGGCGGGUUCACAGGUGGUGCAUGGUUGUCGUCAGCUCGUGUCGUGAGAUGUUGGGUUAAGUCCCGCAACGAGCGCAACCCUCGUUCCAUGUUGCCAGCACGUCGUGGUGGGGA
This 598-nucleotide ribosomal RNA is filed under the name Micrococcus endophyticus. Its description in RNAcentral is "bacterial SSU rRNA". It matches the Rfam family "Bacterial small subunit ribosomal RNA", at positions 545 to 1137 of the family's 1533-position model. Lineage: Bacteria; Bacillati; Actinomycetota; Actinomycetes; Micrococcales; Micrococcaceae. The record is from RNAcentral.